Molecule: non-coding RNA, 45 nt
Filed under: Schistosoma mansoni
Lineage: Eukaryota; Metazoa; Platyhelminthes; Trematoda; Strigeidida; Schistosomatidae
Source: RNAcentral
AUCCAACUGAUGAGUCCCAAACAGGACGAAACGCGCGUCCUGAAU